RNAcentral lists this ribosomal RNA (440 nucleotides) under uncultured bacterium. RNAcentral describes it as "bacterial SSU rRNA". It matches the Rfam family "Bacterial small subunit ribosomal RNA", at positions 955 to 1395 of the family's 1533-position model. The record is from RNAcentral.
CUUAACGCGAAGAACCUUACCUACUCUUGACAUCCAGAGAACUUUCCAGAGAUGGAUUGGUGCCUUCGGGAACUCUGAGACAGGUGCUGCAUGGCUGUCGUCAGCUCGUGUUGUGAAAUGUUGGGUUAAGUCCCGCAACGAGCGCAACCCUUAUCCUUUGUUGCCAGCGGUUCGGCCGGGAACUCAAAGGAGACUGCCAGUGAUAAACCGGAGGAAGGUGGGGAUGACGUCAAGUCACCAUGGCCCUUACGAGUAGGGCUACACACGUGCUACAAUGGCGCACACAAAGAGAAGCGACCUCGCGAGAGCAAGCGGACCUCACAAAGUGCGUCGUAGUCCGGAUCGGAGUCUGCAACUCGACUCCGUGAAGUCGGAAUCGCUAGUAAUCGUGGAUCAGAAUGCCACGGUGAAUACGUUCCCGGGCCUUGUACACACCGAAG